Long non-coding RNA from Oreochromis aureus, 1065 nucleotides. RefSeq lists it as uncharacterized. The record is from RefSeq and is a predicted model, not a curated record. NCBI's taxonomy places the organism in Eukaryota, Metazoa, Chordata, Actinopteri, Cichliformes, Cichlidae. The transcript has 2 exons.
UCCUACUCCCCUCACUCCACCCUUCCAGCUUGUUGCUAUCUCUACCAGUCGGGGUAAUCCACUUCUCCCUAUGUGUCUGAUGCCUGCUCCACUCAGCAGUGCCCAGGAUUAUCUCCCCACAGCCCCCACGGCCCAGUGCCACAGCUAAAGGGAAACCCAGCACGCAAACUGCUAAGGCUGGUUAGCUAGGUCCCACCAAGUGAGCCAAAGCUGGCACGGCUGUUUGUGUUUUACUGUCUGUGCAGAUGGGAUCGUGAAGACGGAGAAAAAAAGAGGGCCCACGCUGAAGCACACAUGCAGUGAUAUGCCACAGUAUGUUUUCUUUGCGGUUGUGAUUGACAAGCGGCUGAUGACGUUAUUUAGAAUAAAGUGUUUGCAGCUGAGCAAAUCGACUGCAACAAAGUCUUCCACCAAAAAUGCUCCAAAGUCUCUCAUGGCUUCUCCAGCCCCGCAGACAUCUGAUCUCAUAAGCGAUAUAUCUGCUGUUAUAGCCACUGGCACCUCCUUGCAUCCGGCCACCAGCUCUGCCAACGCUGGUUAUUUCUGCUGGGAGCUUGCAGAAACGUGACAGGCGCAGCAGCACCGCAAACCGAAGGCCGCCAGCCCCAAGCUCUGGGCUAGGUGUGCGUCGAGAUUAUCACCGAACCUGCGGGCUUCACCUGUUCAACCCUGCUGCCGCUCUGUCUCGCUCAACAUGUUGCCAUCAUAGUUUCGCCGGUCACAUACAUUCUUCUCAUCUCCUCUACUCCGGGCUUGGUUACAGAAAAGAACAGCCUCAGUCACACCUGUACGACACCAUCCAUCACAGCUGUAUGUUGUGUAUCCUCUCCAGGCAGCUUGUGUCUUGUAGCUGCUAUCUGUAUUUGGAAUAGGUAGAUACAGGGCAUGAUUUAGCCAGGAAGGAGUGGGAGAAUAUUAAAACCUAAAAGAUGAGAAAUGAUUGCACCUCUGUAAUGUUUCAAGAAUUGCAUUGUAAUUGCAGAAUCAUGCAAACAUACACACAAAAACUGAGUAGAGUAAUAAAGCAUAAAAACAGGAAUGGAGACUAACGUACCAUUCAGACAA